AGCGAACGCUGGCGGCAGGCCUAACACAUGCAAGUCGAACGAACUCUUCGGAGUUAGUGGCGGACGGGUGAGUAACACGUGGGAACGUGCCUUUUGGUUCGGAAUAACUCAGGGAAACUUGUGCUAAUACCGAAUGUGCCCUUCGGGGGAAAGAUUUAUCGCCAUUAGAGCGGCCCGCGUCUGAUUAGCUAGUUGGUGAGGUAACGGCUCACCAAGGCGACGAUCAGUAGCUGGUCUGAGAGGAUGACCAGCCACACUGGGACUGAGACACGGCCCAGACUCCUACGGGAGGCAGCAGUGGGGAAUCCUGCGCAAUGGGCGAAAGCCUGACGCAGCCAUGCCGCGUGAAUGAUGAAGGUCUUAGGAUUGUAAAAUUCUUUCACCGGGGACGAUAAUGACGGUACCCGGAGAAGAAGCCCCGGCUAACUUCGUG
Molecule: ribosomal RNA, 433 nt
Filed under: uncultured bacterium
Lineage: Bacteria
Description: partial 16S ribosomal RNA
Rfam family: Bacterial small subunit ribosomal RNA
Source: RNAcentral